Molecule: long non-coding RNA, 27987 nt
Filed under: Coffea arabica (coffee)
Lineage: Eukaryota; Viridiplantae; Streptophyta; Magnoliopsida; Gentianales; Rubiaceae
Description: long non-coding RNA (CARA_LNC005312)
Source: RNAcentral
GGGUAAAAUAGGUAUAUUUGUUCAAAAUUAGGUAUAAAAAAUUUUUUCAGGUCCCAAUAAGUCAUUUCCGUUAAGUUUAACGGAUUCCAUCACCUUUACAAUUUAGUUCAAAACAUGAGGUGUUAUGUUGUACAUUUUGAAACCACGGGGGGCUUUUCUUUGUAUUAGGUUUACCACAGGGGGUUUUUUUGUUUUUUUACCCUUAAUUAAAAUAAGUGCAGACUAAGUAAUACUUCUUAAAGGUCUUUCUCUUGCCCAAGCCUUUUGAUUAAGGAGCAAAACUAUCUACUUUCUUGUUACAAAGGGGACGAUAACACUAUGAUCCGAAUCAUGGAAGAAAAACUCCCGUACUUUCUAGAUCUAAAUCUGUCCUAACUCCUGACAUAACUCCUGAAUAAUUACAAAUGCCAAACCCCCAAUUGGAAAGCUGGUCCACUGCCCUGUUUCAUUUACUAAGAGUGUGCUAAACAAAGGCCUCCAGUCUCUAGAUAUUAGUAUCCUGCAAUGCACUGUAACUUUUGCUGAUGACUGAUAACUAAUUUCCCCUUGUUUGGAUCAGUUGCAUAACAACCUGAAAAUCUGUUUCAACAACCAUCUCUCCCUAAAAACCGUGUUCGAUGUCAUCUCCAAAUCCUCUUUUAUAUUUAAACUCAUGUACCUGUAAAACUCAUUCCACGCUUCUAAUAGCCUGCAGCCAAUAUACCAUCUCACCAAGCAACAUUAAUGCUCUUCAGAUGAGCAUAUCCAUGGAAAAAAUUUUCAUUAUUGUUCAAUUCUUCCAUCCACAAGUUUGGUACAGCCAAAAGAUUUUGCUUUUUUGCAUUGUUUUGACUUAUUACAUGUCACUCAAACCUUGCAAACAUCUUUGUUAUCCCUAUACUUCAGUGCAUUUGAUUGUUUAAUCUUGAGUGCUAAUGACAACAAUAAUUUGCAUUCUAUAGCCAUUAUCAAAUCUAGCACUUGAACAAGAUUACCUAGAGGAUACUUUGCCAACAAAUGCUCUAAUUCUGUUUCUUCACAUGCUUUCUAUGAUAGCAUUAACACCAGAAGCUUUUCAUUAUAUAUAUGUAACUCUUUAAUGAGAAAGGAAAAAUAUAUUUGUAUUUGUUUAUCGAGUUUUCUUUUUAGUCACAAAAAGUAUAUACAUUUUGAAACUGGUGCAGAUCAGUAAAAUGCUGCACCUACUUGUUUUAUAACAUUUCAUUUGUGCAAAUGAAUAAUGAUUUAUUGCGGUAGGCUUAGCAACUUCAAAUGUCAGAAACAGCAUACAUACAAAAGUCUAAUCCAACCAUACCCCACACCCCAAAAAAAAGAAAAAAAGAGAGGCAGGAAAUGAAAACCAAACACUCUGCCUUUCUGUCUUUCCGGCCCUUCUUCCCCCUUUGCCCCUUAAGACCUCCAUCUCCUCUUAGGUUAGAGUUUUGGGUACAGAUCAGGCACUGCUUUGUUUUGCAGAAGUAAAAAAGGUAGUAAUAUCUAGAAGGAAAUCAUGCUGGUUUUGGAGCUCUUGUAAUUAAAGGACUAGACAUAAAAACUUAAGGGGUGUGAAAUAUAAAUUCCACUAAGACAACUUUCAAGUUGGCUCCUGUGAACAGCUUGAUGCAGAUUAACCAGUGGUAGAUAUCACAUAAUUCAAGGAACCCUAGAUGCUGUUGGACUAAAAAACUAGAUGAUGUAAGUGAAGCUCUUGAUAAGGAGAUAGUUGCACCACUCUAGUAGAACCAACCAGAAAGUUAUCCUCAAGUUCGUGGAUAUAAGUAAGUAUAUAAAAGUAAAAAUAAAAAAUAAAAAUGUACUCACUAUCACUAAUUCAACCAAUUGACAAAUGAAAGAACUUUAACUUCUGAUUAGUUGAAGAUCAACAGCUAAGUUCUUGCAUUCAAAAGCAAGCUUCUACUCUUUUAUCCUUCAUUACUGAUUUGCCAUGUCACUAACAAUAAUUUCUAUUGGUUCCUGCGAUACCUCAUCCCACAUCGUAAAAGUAAAGUGCUAUAGACCAAUACUUAAGUAGAGCCUGUCAACUGGUAUUUUGGGAGGAAAACAUCUAGUCACAGUAUUAUGAGUGACCAACUAGUAUUUAUAGGAGUACAAACCUAACAAACUAUUUACAAGAAUACCCUUACUAAUUUAUUAUCUACAAGAAUACUUAUAUUCUCUUGACACUCCCCCUCAAGUUGGAGCAUAUAUAUCAUAAGCACCCAACUUGUUACAAAUGUAUUUCACCCUAGAACCCCCUAAACUCUUGGUAAACACAUCAGCCAAUUGAUCUACAGACGGUACAUGAGAUGUCUUGAUGACCCCGUCAAGCAAUUUCUCUCGAAUGAAAUGACAAUCAACUUCAAUAUGUUUUGUCCUUUCAUGAAACACUGGAUUAGACGCAAUAUGAACAGCCGCCUGAUUAUCACACACUAAAUUCAUAGGCUGUUUAUGCUCAAACCCAAGUUCCAGUAAUAUGCUCUUCAACCAAACCAACUCACACACAGUGUGAGCCAUAGCGCGGUAUUCAGAUUCUGCACUUGAUCUGGAUACAACUGUUUGCUUCUUACUCUUCCACGACACUAAAUUACCACCAACAAACACACAAUAUCCUGUAGUCGAUCUUCGAUCUGAGGCAGAACCAGCCCAAUCUGCAUCACUAUAUCCUUCAAUAUCAGUGUGUCCAUGAUUUUGAUACAGCAACCCUUUUCCAGGAGCACUCUUAAGAUAUCUGAGAAUCCGUAUAACAGCAUCCCAAUGACUAGUACGAGGGGUAUCAAGAAAUUGACUCACAACACUCACUGCAAACGAAAUGUCAGGUCUCGUUACAGUGAGAUAAUUUAAUUUACCCACAAGUCUUCGAUAUUGCUUAGGAUCAUCAAGUAAUGCACCUUGAUCUCCUGCUAAUUUCACAUUUGGAUCCAUAGGAGUAUCCACAGGUCGGCAACCUAACAUCCCAACUUCACUCAACAUAUCGAGUACAUAUUUUCUUUGACAUAAAUAAAUCCCAUAUUUAGACCGAGCUACCUCAAUACCCAGAAAAUACUGUAGAUGACCUAAAUCCUUUGUCUGAAAGUUUGCCUGCAGAUUGGAUUUAAGUUUCUGAAUCCCCACAACAUCAUCACCUGUAAUCACAAUGUCAUCCACAUAAACAACUAAUAAAAUUUUACCAGCAUUAGAAUGCCGAUAAAAUACAGAGUGAUCUACUCCACAUCUUGUCAGACCGAACUCCAUGACAACACUACUAAACCGGCCAAACCAAGCCCUCGGAGACUGUUUCAAUCCAUAUAAGGAUUUUUUCAAACGACAAACCAACCGCGGAUUCUCCCCCUGAACAACAAAUCCAGGAGGUUGUUCCAUAUAUACCUCUUCUUUCAAAUCUCCAUGCAGAAAUGCAUUUUUCACAUCCAACUGAUGCAAUGGCCAAUUAUAAGUGGCUGCCAAAGAGAUAAGAAGACGAACAGAGGUAAUCUUUGCAACAGGAGAAAAAGUUUCUAAGUAAUCUACUCCAUACACCUGAGUAAAUCCUCUAACUACCAGCCGAGCCUUCAAUCUAUCAAUAGAACCAUUAGGCUGCACUUUUAUAGUGUACACCCAUUUACAACCAACAACAGGCUUACCUGAAGGACGAGGGACAAGAUCCCAAGUACCAUUUUGUUCCAAAGCAGACAUCUCUUCUUGCAUAGCUAAUCUCCAACCAGGAUGAUUAAGAGCAUAGGUAAUAGACUUAGGAAUGGAGACAGAAUCAAGGGAAGCAACAAAAGAAGAAUAUGACAUAGAGAGACGAGAAUAAGAAACAAAAUUAGAAAUAGGAUGGGAAGUACAAUGUCUCUUACCUUUGCGUAAAGCAAUGGGAAGAUCUAACUCAGAGGAGGGCGUCAUACCUGAAUUGGAAGAUUGAGAAUUAAUUGGUGAAGUGCGUGGCAUAUCAGGAACUUUUUCAACCAUGGAACGACGAGAGUAAACUUGAAGAUGAGGACGAGAUAAUCGAGCUAUGGAAUCUGGUGGACUAGAUAACUCAGGUAAUAAAGGGGAAGGGACUGGUAAAACAGGAGAGGAAAAAGAGGGACACUGGUCUAACUCACAAGACAUACUUUGUUUGAUAAAAUACGGAGUGGAUUCAAAGAAAGUAACAUCAGCACAAGUAAAAAAUCGAUUUAAAACUGGACUGUAACAUCUAUACCCUUUUUGCGCUCGUGCAUAUCCUAAGAAAAUACACUUAAUAGCACGAGAAUCUAAUUUAUCCACCCCGGGAGCAAGCUGAUGAACAAAGCAGACACAUCCAAAAAUACGAGGAGGCAAUUUAAACACAGGUUCAUGAGGAAAAAGAAUGGAGUGAGGUAAUUGACCUUCAAGAAUAUUAGAUGCCAUGCGAUUAAUUAAAUAACAUGCAGUUAGAACUGCAUCACUCCAAAAUUGUUUGGGCACAUUCAUGUGCAACAACAGUGUUCGAGCAAUUUCGAUUAAAUGUCCAAUUUUCCUUUCAGCAACUCCAUUCUGUUGUGGAGUGUGAGGACAAGAGGACUGAUGAAUAAUACCAGACUUAGUCAUAAAGGUAUUAAAAGGAGUGGAAAAAUAUUCUUUCGCAUUAUCACUGCGAAGUAUACGCACAGGCACACCAAAUUGAUUCUUUAUUUCUGUAACAAAUGCACAAAAAAUGGAAUAUAAUUCUGAACGAUCUUUCAUUAAAUAAAGCCAUGUAACUCUGGAAAAAUCAUCAACAAAGACUACAAAAUAUUUAAAACCUAACUUUGAAGUGACUCGACUAGGACCCCAAACAUCAGAAUGAACUAACAAAAAGGGUUCAGAAACCCGUUUAUUGACUUUAGGAGCAAAAGAAACACGAUGAUGCUUUCCUAACUGACAAGACUCACAUUCUAACGAAGAUAAUUGAUUCAAAGUAGGAACCAACUUUUUCAAAUUUUGUAAAGACGGAUGACCUAAACGACAGUGAAUUUCAAGAGGAGAAACAGUAGCAGGACAUGCUAUCGGACCAUUAAAGUUGAGAAAGUAAAGACCAUUAUGCUCAUGCCCUCCACCAAUCGUCCUCUUUGUCUUCAAAUCCUGAAUGACAACGGAAUCAGGAGAAAAAGUAACUGUACACUGUAGAAAUUUAGUGAGCUUACUAACAGACAUUAGAUUAAAUGGUAAAUUGGGUACGUAAAGAACAGAAGACAGCGGAAGUGAUGGAUUAAUUUCUACAGUGCCUAGUCCUUUAACUUUAGUGGUAGAUCCAUCAGCUAAAGUAACAUGAGGAAAGGGAGUAGACUCUUGAAAAUUAGAAAAAAUUUUAGAGGUACCUGACAUAUGAUCAGUAGCCCCGGAGUCAAUAAUCCAUGAGUCAUUACCUUUUUGUGCUAAAGAAGCAGAGGGAAGAGAUGCGUGACUUGUAGUUUGGUACUGUAAGAAUUUAACAUAAUCUUCCUCGGAUAUAAUAACAGUUUUCUGGGACCUAUGUGCUGAAGAACUUGAUUUAACUUGAUCAGUGGUAACCCCAUUAGCAAAACUUUCAACCAUAGCGAAUAGCACUUCAAACAAAACAGCAAUCAAAAUUCGCUAUAAACAGUGCGCCGUGAACAGUGCGCCGUGAAUAGUACCGGGGUGAACAGUAUCGCGAUGAACAGUACCGCGUGAACAGUACCGCGUGAACAGUCGUGAUGAACAGUAUCGCGUCAAGACUUUUGCUAGAUGUUUAACCCUAACCCUAGGACUUUUGCUCUGAUACCAUGUCAACUGGUAUUUUGGGAGGAAAACAUCUAGUCACAGUAUUAUGAGUGACCAACUAGUAUUUAUAGGAGUACAAACCUAACAAACUAUUUACAAGAAUACCCUUACUAAUUUAUUAUCUACAAGAAUACUUAUAUUCUCUUGACAGAGCCUAAGCACACAAGUCCAACUUGGGAUAUCCAUUUUGGGCUAGCGAGGACCGAGCCCAAGUAGUUGGACUUGCCUGCUGAGACUUUGGUCGUGUUCUGGGCUUGCAGGCCUGGGGUGUGACAUUAUGGUAUCAAAGCGCCAUGUGUGGUCUCUACAGCGGGUGAGACUGGGCCAGUGGUAUUGGGCCGGACUACACAAAGGAGCGGAGGAACUAAGUGCUGUGCAGGGCUAAGUGCUAUGUUGACCCAAGGGAGACUAAGCCAGUGGUAUUGCGCCAGACUACACAAGGGAGUGAAGGAACAAAGUGCUGUGAAGAGAUAAGUGCUACAUAGAAUCUGACACAAUUGAGUGGAUAGUCUGGAUUUGCGAGAACGCAAAGCCUAAAAAGGAAGGGUGAAUGUGAUACCCCAUCCCACAUCGAAAAACCAAUAAGUGAAGGUGGAUCAAGCUUAUACUCUCUCUUAUCUUGUCUCCACUCCUUUGGUCUAGAAGACAAGCAAGAGAGAUACUUAAGUAGAGCCUAAGCACUCAAGUCCAACUUGGGAUAUCCAUUUUGGGCUAGCGAGGAUGACGCCCAAGUAGUUGGACUUGGCUGCUGAGACUUUGGUUGCAUUUCGGCCUGCGGGCCUAGGGCGUGACAGUUCUCCAAUGUAAUCUUAAGGAAACCAAUAUGCAAGAGGGCUAAGGCUAUUCUAAUAAGAUGUACAAGCAUCUAAAUAUGAAGGUUGAUGGGAAACAUAUGCAACACUCAGCAUGAGAAUAAAAGAAUAGCAUUAUGAUGGAGUGCUAGCAACCCAAAAUACAGCAAGCCUGGGGCGUGACAGUUCCUCUAUGCAUUAUGAGAAUCACAGAAUAGCACUAUGAUGAUGUGCUAGCAACCCAAAAAACAGAAGUCAAACACAACACUAACACAAUUAAAAUAUGACACAUCUUUUAAUCCUACCAGAUAUGAUUCUAAAGUUCCAAUUCUAAUUCCAAGCACCUUCCAACAUGUGUUCUUAUAGAAGUUGUCAAUAAGCAAAAAAAACAUAUCAAAAAUACCAUGCAUACUAACACAUUGCCAGGAACAUGACAUGUAAGCAUGGUAAUCUGCAACUAAGCAACCAAAAAAAAUUUGAAAAAGACACUAACCUUCUAUAAUCAGGAAUUCCACACUCUGUGCUAAUUCCAGCACCAGUCAGAACAACAAGAUUUGAACUGUAAAAUUAGCAAGAAUCGAAAUUGGUCAGAGAUUUUAACAAAAUCAUGUAAAUAACAGUUUCCCUUAGAAAGGGAGUAAAACUGCCUUGGAAUGGUAAAAUUCAUAAUUAGGAAUUUCAGGUGUCAUAAAUGAAACCUCUUUGAAACUGAAAGUGCACAGUUUUCUGCAACAUUUUCACAUAUGUUAUUUAAACAGCAGGUUAGCAUGCAAAGGCUAGAGAAAAGUAGAAAACCAGUUUGGAUUGGCUAUCUUGAACAUUCAAAUUGUUAAAUGGAAAACCUGAAUUUAAAAACAUAUAGUGUCAAUCCUUUAGAAAAUAACUUUGAAGACCUUACAGAAAUUCAAUUCUUUUAAACCACACUGGAACAGCAUGUUCUUCAGUAAAAACUUGCAACUAAAUUUAACUUUAUAUUUAAACAACUUAAUGCAUGCUGGUUCCUUCUGUAAGAAGGUAAACCAAAUGUGCAUUUUAAACUCUCCCACACACAUACUACACAAAGUACAUAUUAAUUAUAUGGGAUUGUUAUGUCAAAGAGACCCUUAUAUGUAAAAAGUGACCCCUGGGGCAGGCUUUUUACGCGACAACCGAAAGUUUCAGAAGUAAGCAAAUUAUAGACAACUAAGGAACUCAAAUUGAGUUAACUUUCCACAUCCACAAAAGAGAAAAAGAAAGUGCUAAUUGAAUCAUCAAAGAGGGAAAAAUGGUGAGCUUUUUGAACUAGAGAUCAAUCUGGAUCUAUUCUUCUUGAUUUAGUUAGAGUUAUGAGUGCAAUCAGAUCAGUUGUCCUUGCCAAGUUGAGUGCACACACAGAUGACAAGAAAUUGAAGAAUAAAGAUGAGUUCUCUACAAUCACAUAUAUACUGCUCCUGCAGAUUCUCCUGAGAUUAAUCUAACAGGUACACAAAAAAGUGAUGCAAUACCACCAAUAUCAAUCAUACCUCCUAUCAAAAAAUUGAUAGAGAAUGUUGACAUCUUGAACACUAGGUGGAUCUGAAUCAGGAAUUAUCAUCUUUUUCCUCAAACUUGAAGAUGCCUUCUCUUUACUUUCUAAAGUAGCCCUUGGAAAUGAGAUUCGGCAAGCUGUCUGCACAUGCUUUGAGGAUCCUUGAAAAGAUAAAAUCCUUCCCACUCUACCAAGAGGUUUUCUGUUCUUGCAAGUUGAUUGAAUGCAACCUGUAAAUUAGGAAGACAAGACUUGUUUUCAGAUUUUAGCUAUCAAUUACUUUCAGAUAUGGAAGAGCCAAAGCAUAUAUCAAGAUAAUAUCCAACUUGCUGUCAAUAUUUGGCUGAGCAAUUCUCCUGUACUUCUCGGGCCCUGAAUGGUAAAGGAGCAAAGUAAGAAUUAAAACCAUGCAUGAUGGGCCAAUUAUCUAUGGAACCACUCCAAAACAAGAUAACAGUUAAUAAUCAAAACCGUUUAUGACUCUCUGAAGCAUUUGGAAGCAUCAUGACUUUAAUUUCAUAAAUGUUCCUGACAACAUUUUCUCUUAGAGUACUCCUGUAGCUGUCUAUGAGAAGAAACCCAGAGAUUACUUUAAAAAAAAAAUAGAAAGGGCACAAACCAAGUGCAUUGCCUGGUCUAGAUAAAGCUAAAUGUGUAACAAUUGCGUGCAAACAUACUGUUGUCCAAUGGAUCACCGUGUAACAAGCUUAUACUAGCGCAAAAGUUCACUCUUGGAAGAGAUAUGGACAUGAAAUUUCAAGAAAGGAAAAGAGGAAAAGAAGCAUUGUGAAACAAGAAUAGCACAGGGUGCACUAAGACAAUUUUGUCACCAUUAAAUUUUCUCACAGAUAGCCUUAAAACCCACGGUUGAAUCAUCCCAAAACUGGAAAUGUUGAACACAUUCAAUUUGGCCACAUCAAAUACUUUUAAUCUCCUAUGAAUCACUCUCUUCUUAGGCAAGUGCCCUCAAAAUUCAAGGCUGACAGCCAAGUUUUCAAAUUAAAAAAUGCAAAUGUUAAAUGCAUUUAAUUCAGCAACACUAAACAAUUAUACUCUCCUCAGAAUCACUCACAUCUUAGGCAAACAAACAUUCAACACCAAUAGACAAUUUUAAUUUAGCACAGUAGAACUCAAGUAACUAUAGCCUUCUUCAUCAAAAUUACAGAAAGAAAUUAAAAGAAGAGAGACAAUUUCCAGGACAUGACAUGAUACAGCUCAUAAGAGCACAAAAAGGUUUCUUUCUUUUCCUUCAUUUGGAUAUAUGUAAAUAUGUUCAUUACACGUUGAAAAUAAUUGUCUACAAAGGACCGAAAAGAGAGAGAGAACAUCAUAUAAUCUGAAUGAAAUUUAAACCCAAAUAUGUUACAGUUUUUACCAAAUUCUUGAAAUUUCAAAAUUUUGUCACCUAAGUUAAAUAAACAAAGAAUCCCAUUAGAUUAUAUUGACAUGUAAAUAGAUGAAAGAGAAGACAUAAGCAUGUUUUUUUUAGCACAAACUAUAAGCAUAUGUUCUCUUCAAAGCAAUUGAGAAUUACACUGUCUUCGAAAUUUUUGGGAACUGAGGUUUUAAGAAAACGAAAUCUAGGACAUUAAAUAUCACUUUUCUUGUCAUGUUAAAUCUGUAAAUUGAGUUUUUGAAUAAACAUAUUGCAAUGGAGGGGGAAAAAACAAUAGAUAGUUAUAGGAACUUGAAAAUGUAUCAUUUCAGUAUAGAAUUAAAGUCCCACGAAUUGAAGAAUAUUCAAAUCCUAUGAAUUUGGCAUGAAAGAAACUGAAAUUUAAAGAAUUUCAUAAAUCUACAUAUGCUAUCAACAAAGAUCAUACAAAAGAUAAUAAAAUGAAAAUUUGAAGAGAAAAGAGGUCUAAACUCUUGGAGGAGAAAAAGAAAACUCAUAGGAAAGAGGAAUUUAUGAGUGAAAGACAGACAGUUUCUAAGCUAGUGGCCAAAACAGCUGGAUUGGCAAGAAAUUUCAUAAGCGAUUGCAAAAUAUUUGCCACAACUACAGUCUGGAUUCUCCUCCAAACUUUCUGCCUUCACCUUUCCAGUUGUGUUGUAUAUGCCACCAGCAUCCAAUUUCAUGUCCUAUAUCAGGAUAUUCCAAGUGUUCACCGCUACCCAUCAGAAGAAAGAAUCCAAAUUUAAACACCCAAAAGAUCCAGAGCCAACAUAAUUUAAGCUUAAGUUUAUGCCUACCCACUUUACAUAAGGUGACAAUAGUUUUUUUCUUUGAUUCGAUAAUUCAGGACACACAACAAUGUAAUAUAUUAUAAGUAAUACAUUUCCAAUUACCAAAUGACAUAUCAGGCAGUGUCAAUCUUAACGACUAAAAUGAUAUAACAUUUGCUAACUAACAUAUUUCUAGAUCGAUUCCCACACGUUACAUUCACAAUGUGAUUUCCCCCUCAAGGAAUAGCCAAAUCAAUCAUGGCAUAUAUACAAUUGAAGCAGACGAGUCUGACGUGAUCAAAUUAUAAAAAUAUUAGAUAUAUUUAAAAAAAACCUUCCAUGUUUAAUAGCUUUUCUGGAACAUCAUAUUUUCCCAAAAUUCUGGAAAGACGAAAGAAUAAGAAAAAUUACUCAAAUAAACAAACGCACACCACUAGCCCAAAAGUUCCACUAUUUAACAGUUACUCCUAUUGGUCCAUUGUCCUUCCUAAGCCCUAAGGCUCCUAUAUCCACCCUCCCCACUACACCUUCAACCGGAGCCAAACCAAACUCAGCUAAAAUAACAAAAACUGAUCUUCUCUCUCAAAUACAUAGAGCAGAUCCAGAAUAUAACACCUUGCUCUAACUGUCAGAUAUAUUCUACAAAAGGUUCAAAAUGAGAAAGCAAAAAUUGAAAAAAAGAAGAUCCCGCUUUUUCUUUCACUAUCGCUGCCUGAAAUUUAACCUCAAGGUUUUCAUUAGGCAUUUCUACUGGAUGAACAUAUAACUGUUCCCUUAAAAAAAUUACUGUUUUCUUCCGUAUAUAUCAAUGACUAUUAUAUUGUUUCUGUUCCUGGUUUCUGUACUAUCAUUUAAAAGUUAUCUGAACAAUAUACCAGACCUAAUAUGCUUCAUCUGUCUCACUAAAAUAUUUACUUCCUUCCCAAAUGACCAUUUCGGUGUUCAAAUAACAUAAAGCUAAUUCACCAAUAUAUAAUCUAGUGUCAGUAUAUUCCCAGCAAAAAAUAAAAAUUACUACAAUCAAUUACAGCAUCUCUGACAAAUAUUCUUGCAUAAAUUACAGCACAACAUUCAAACAGUGCAAUAUAUUCCAGAAAACUAAAACACCAUUGGAAUAACCAUUCAAGCUGCAAAUAGAUUUCUUGUAUCAGACACUUACAGAAAUAAAGGGUCUGUAAGGAAAUCGGAAAGCCAUGGCCAUAGGAGCUGAAUUGCUGGAAAUCUUUUUGCGCUUUUUUCUUUAGGUGUUCAAUUCUUCCCUUUCUUUCCCAAUUGGGAUGCAUUGUCCUCCUCAGAAAAUAAAAGGGCUUAAAAAAAAAAAGGCCUGAUUUUGCUCCCCCUUACGUGGAAGCUUCAAAAUCCUUAGCAUAACGCUUGUUUCAAUAGUUGCAAUUUAGUUUCCCAUGUUUGGCCUAUGUGCGAAACUGGUCCUUAAUAUUUCAACUAAAAUAAAUUUGGUCCCGAAAGUUUCAAAUUUGAGGCACUUGCCAUUUAAGACAAUUAAUAGGAAAUCAAUAAUGAUUAAUCAUCAAAAUCAAAUUACCAUUAGGAAGAGGGAUGGGUUGGGUAGUACCAAGGGUGAGAAUAGAAAUGAAAGGUCUUGGAUUCAAGGCAUCCACUUACACUAGAUAAAAAAAAAUUUAAUUACCAUUAGCCAAAAGUUUUUUGGCAUUGCACCUAUAAUCACUAAUAUCUUGAAUUUAGAUUAUUAUGGUCCCUUAGAUUUUAAAUAGUUAUAGCCACAUUUUCAAUUUGAAAAUGAAAACAGAUAUGAAUUGAUUAAAUAUACAAUACAUGUGCUCUCUACUUCCUAUAGAAUUUCAUAAACACUUCAUAUCAUUUUGAUCUAAAGAGCAUCCCUUUAUUAAAUAAGUUGUAGUUGUAAUACAAUAUAAAUUUGAUAUGUAAAACAAAAAUUAGUAUAAGAAAAGGAAAAAAAAAUUGUAGUUUUAGUAUAUAGCUUUAUUAAUUUCGACUACACAAAUUCUUGCAUGACUAGUGGACAUAAGCUGCAAAUUGGUGUAGUUAGUAGUUUAAUUAUAAAAACUAUUGAAUAUAAGUACAAAUGAAGUGUUUUUAGGAAUCUCUGAAAAACAAAAAACUUCCUCUAUUUUGUUGUUUUUCCUACCUAUUAAAUCCAAUGUUCCAAUAGUAAAGUUUUAAAAUAUUUAUUUUACUAUUUGUUUACCCUGAUAAUUUUAUCGUGUGAUUCGAAUAACUAUACAAAAAGCCAAUUCAGCUCAUACUCAAUUGAUAACCUAUUGAAAUUGAAAAAAGAAAGACGAACAAUCUAACUUACAUAUAAAACAAAUUUUUUAUUUCUUAAAGGGUCAUUUAAUUGAGUGUUUAAUUAUCAAUACAAAUGACAGUAAUAAUGAGUUCAUUAUCAUUUAACUCUUCAUAGUGCAAAAGUAAUACAUACAUAUAUACACACAUACAUACAUACAUGCAUGCAUAUAUGUGUGUGUGUGUGUGUUAUGCCAAAUCUAACACCAACUAUGCAAAUGAAAAAGUCUAUGAGAAAUUAGUGGGAUGAAUGAAUUAAAUAAAAAGAAAAAGAAAAGGAAAAAGUUGUACUUAACUUUUGCACAUUUUUCAAUACAAUUUCAAUCUAAUUUGCAUAUUGGAAUAUGAGUCCUCUCUCUAGUAGAGGCAUUUUCUCUCUCUAAAAAGAGAGUUCUAUCUCCCCGUGGUAGGAGCUCCAGACAGCACCGAAAAGUUACUUUUUGAAUCUUGAAUUUGAAAUACACCUACUCAAAUUCAACCGGUUGGCGUACUUAUUUCUCAACACUCCUGGCUUUCCGAGCAGCAUUAAACUGCUCAGAAAGCAAAACUCUGUCGGAAAAACACCAACAUUAACAAGCUGAAAUCUCAGUUCCCUGUUUUAAGUUCAUACGAAAAGGAAAACAAAAAAACAAAAAAAUCCAAGUCUGCAAAAUUCUCGCAGCUUCAGCUGACCAGUCGCCAUCCUAGUAGUAUAAGAAAACUAAGGAGAAAGAAGAGGGUUGACCAAGCUAGAGCUCUGGAUCACAGCUAACAAACCACCUGGAGACUCUAACAAAGCUGAGACAGGUAAUUUCAUGGACAUAACUAUCUCGUCCUAGCCUUAGUUUUGUGUCUUGUUUGGCUUUCGUUUCUUCCUUCCAGGAUGCUUGAACCAGGAGAAAUAUAGUAGAUUUUCUCCUUCUCACAUAGGUUUUGUGACUAUCCAGACUCUGAGGGGUAGUGUGUGGUAUACCAACAGUAUUUGCUAAGACAAUGACGGAUGAACUGGCUGAGAUCAUGCAGAACUUUGACCUUUCUAGCACAGAACUUCAAGCUACUAGCCUUGGUAGCGAGGAGAUAGGGAGAGGGGUGAAAGAAUGCAAAAUCAGCUUGAUUGGUAAAGUAAUGGGAGAGAAAGUCUCAAACUACACUGGGGUCAAAAACUUUGUGACAACAACUUGGGGGUACCCUAGAGAACUGAGAGUGGUGGAACUAGGAUCGAAUAUGUUUCAUUCAUUCUACCGGUGGAAAGUGACAGGGAGAAGAUCCUGAAUAGAGGACCUUGGAUAAUGGAUAACCAAGUGCUUGUUCUGAACAAUUGGUAUGAAGGAAUAGAGAAGGAUGAAAGGGCAUUCUGCUUAGCACCUCUAUGGAUUCAAGUUUGGAACUUGCCAGUACACUGGAUGUCGAAAGAGGCAGGGAAGAAAAUAGGUUCAAUCUUUCACCAGGUGAGAGAGGUGAUAGUUCCCUAGACUGGGGGUAAAAAGAAGUUAGACAUUUGAAACUUCUAGUGGUUGUUAACAUUUGCCAACCCCUGCUGAGAGAAACCAUUGUUAAGGUUGGAGAUGUAACUAAGUGGGCUAGUUUCAAAUAUAAGAUAUGCCCAGAUUUUUGCUACAAUUGUGGCAUUAUAGGACACAGUAAAAGGACAUGCAAAAAGCAAGUCUAUACUGGAUGGGGGAAGAAGGAUAAUCAAUAUGGUCUGUGGUUGAGGGUUGGUAAUCUGAGAAGUUCUCCAUAGGAAAAACAAUCCAGUAUUGUGUACAACCCUCAAGCACAUCACUGGAGACUCCAAGAUGGGGAGUGGAAGGAGAAAGGGAGGAAUGGUGUGCAGGAAGGUAAGCAUAAGAACCAGACACCAAAGGCUAAUACCAGCAUCAAAGAGUCUGGAAAUGAGAUUAGAACUCAGUCAUUAGGAGAGAGUAGUCAGGAAGAACAGUGGAGAGGUAUAAUUGACGAACUGAGCAUACAAUCUAAUAAGUCUACUGAAGUGGUUAAUAGUGUAGGGGGUAAUAGAGCUAGAGAUCAACUCCCAAAGGAAUCAAGGGAUGGGUAUGAGGUACACAAGGAACAAAGUAGGAGUUUAGGGGAAGGUAAACAAAUAGGGGAAAAGGGAAAGGAAUGAGUUAACUCAGACAUACUGAUGAUGGAAGGAGGAAAUGGCAUUGUGAUGGUUCAGCUCCCCAAGACUGGGAACUGUGAAGAGGGAGACACAGAAAUGGAGUCCAUAAGCAUGAGAGCAGAAUUGGAACCAAAGAUGAAAGAGGCUCUAGAUAGACAGAAUAGAAGAAUUCUGAGAGUCCUGAGAUCCCCCAAGAAACAAAGGCAGCCUCUAAGUGAUAUUAACACUAAUACCAUCAGAGAGAGGAAGUCAGGAAAAAGGAAAGGGGUCAUAGGGGAAAUGGAAAUGGUAAUUAAUGAGGACAGCAUGCAAAAUGGAAAGAGGAAUAAAAUUGAGUUGAAUGGAACCUCAAUAGGUAUUGAUACUGAGGGGGAGGGGUCCAAUCCAAAAUGGACCCCAUUAGAUAAAUGAGAGUUCUGGUGUGAAAUUGUCAAGGAGUGGGGAGCUCCUUGACAAUUCCACAACUGAGAGAGGUGAACAACCUCUCCUCUCCAAGUGUGUUGUUUUUGUGUUGAAAUCAAGAAUAGAAGUAAAUAUAUGGAAAAGGUAAAAAAUAUUUUGAAGUUUGAUGAGAUAGCAAUAGUGGAAGCUAUGAGUAAGACAGAAGGUAUGGCCCUCAUGUGGAAAGAGGAGGUUAGGAUCAAGCAAGUUUUAAGAACUGCCUUUACUAUUGAAGCUCAAAUAGAAGAUCAGGAGAGUAGGAGUGAGUGGUGGUUUAUAGGGAUUUAUGCCAGCUGUGAGGACCAAAUAAGAAAAUAGCAGUAGAGAGUGAUUCAGGCAAGGAAAGAUCUUUGAGGGAAAAAUGGUUAUUAGCAGGUGAUUUCAAUGACAUACUGUUGAAUGAUGAAAAGUGGGAUGUAAUUGGAGAGAAGAAGGUAGUUUCAAGGCCUUUAAAGAUUUUAUCAAUGAGAACCAGUUGAUGGAAGUAGGCUUUGAGGGUCACCCUUGGACUUGGUGCAACAAUUGGGAAGGCGAAGGAGAAAUUAAGCAAAGACUGGACAGAGGGUUAUGUAGCUUUCCUUGGUACCAAACUUUUGAUAAGGUCAGCUGCAAACACUUGAACUCAUUUGCCUCAGACCACAGCAUGUUGAUGUUUGACACCAAACCAGGUCAGGAUAGGAGAAAGAAAAGGUUUUACUUUGAUAAAAGGUGGCUCCAAAAUGGAGAGAUCAAUGAGAUUGUAGAGCAGGCUUGGAAACAAGGAGAUGAAGGCACAAAGAUGUACAGAGUAACACAGCAGAUUAAGAGGUGCAGAACUGCACUGCUAAAAUGGAAAAAUAAGCUCCAAAGUAAUUCGAAGAUUAACAUUGAAAGGAUCAAGAGACAAUUGCAUGCACUAAAAGAAAGUGACAUAGGUGACAAGAAGAGCAAGGGGAAACUUCUGAAGAGUAGGUUAAGAGAAGCCUAUAGAGAGGAGGAGGUUUAUUGGAGCCAAAAAGCCAGAUUGUAGUGGCUAAAGGAAGGGGACAAGAACACUAAGUUCUUUCAUACCUGUGUUAAGGAUAGAAGGAGGAAAAACAGAAUUGCGGAUAUCCAGAAAGAGAAUGGAACUUGGACUAAGAAUGAAGAGGAGUUAAGUGCUGAAAUUGCCAGUUACUAUAGGGACCUCUUCAAAACAUCAGAGGAAGGAGACAUGGAGGAAAUUCUGAGUGGUAUACCUCACACUAUCUUAGGAAGUAUGAAUGAUAGGCUGACAAAACCUGUAGAUGAGGAAGAGAUCAAAUAUGCCAUUUUCUCUAUGAAUCUAGACAAAGUCCCUAGAAUAGAUGGGAUGCCUCUUAUCUUUUUCCAGAAGUUUUGGAACAUUGUUAAGAAAAACUUAAUCAGUGCUAUUCAAACAUUCUUUCAUACUGUUCAUCUCAUCAAGUCAAUCAACCAUACAGUUAUCUCUCUCAUUCCCAAAGUCAUGAACCCCACAUCCCUUAAGCACUAUAAGCAUAUUAGUUUGUGCACAAUUGUGUAUAAAAUCAUAGCUAAAGUCCUUGCUGAUAGACUGAAGCAGGUUCUCCAUUUCUGUAUCAGUAAGAACCAGUCAACCUUUAUUGUUGGAAGGCAAAUCGUAGAUAAUAUUAUGAUUUCCCAUGAGUUCUUAUAUUAUCUAAAAAACAAAAGGCUAGGGAAAGAUGAUUUUAUGGCUGUAAAAUUGGAUAUGUCAAAAGCUUAUGACAGGGUUGAAUGGAGGUUCUUGGAAGCAGUGAUACAGAAAAUGGGAUUCAAUGACAAAUGGAGAAGGUGGAUCAUGGAAUGCUUGUCAACAGUUUCUUAUUCCUUCACAAUCAAUAGCGAGGUCAGAGAAUAUGUGAUUUCUCAUAGGGGAAUUAGAUAGGAUGAUCCUCUAUCACCCUAUCGAUUCCUCUUAUGCUAAGAAGGACUAUCUAAUCUACUCCACAAAGCUAUUGAGGAUAAAAGAAUCGCAGGGCUGAAAAUCAGUAGACAGGGUCCUAGUGUAACUUACCUAUUUUUUGCAGAUGACUCUCUAAUAUUUUGUAAGGUAGACCCUCAGAAUGCAGUUGAGCUUAGGAGAUUACUUCAAGUGUAUGAGAAAGGAACAGGACAGAAGAUUAACAUAGAAAAGUUCUCAGUUUUCUUUAGCAGAAAUGUGAAACAUGAGACAAAGCAGGAUACUAGUCAAGCACUGGGAGAUAUUCAGCUGGUUAAUCAAGGGCAAUACCUGGGGUUUCCAAUGGUGGUCACUAGAACCAAGCAACAGCUAUUUGGGUACAUCAAAGAUAACAUUCAACAGAGGUUAAAGAAGUAAUGCUUAAAUCUGUAGCUCUAGCAAUGCCAACGUUUACUAUGUCAUGUUUCAAGCUUCCCAAAAGGCUAUGUAAAGAUAUAAACUCCAUCAUGGCAAAUUAUUGGUAGGGAGAGGCAAAUGGAAGAAACAAAAUGCACUGGAGCUCCUGGAGCAAUAUCUCUUUGGAUAGAUAAUCUGGAGGAUUAGGAUUUAAGGAUUUAGGGGUAUUUAACACAGCUCUGCUUGGCAAGCAGGUUUGAAAACUACUUACACAACUAAAUCUGUUGGUCAGUAAGGUGUUAAAAGCCAGAUACCAUCCAAAGGAUUCGAUCUUUAAGUGUAAGGUACCAGAAAAUGUCUCGUGAAUUUGGAAAGGAUUGAUGGGGGCUAGGAAGCUGGUGGAAAAAGGAGUUAGGAUAGCUAAUGGAAAGAGUACCAACAUAUGGGAGGACUGUUGGAUCCCAAAUAAUCACCAAAAAAACCACAAGGAUGCAUCCUAUAGAAGGUUGAGGAACUGAUACUCCAAAGGAAAUGGAAUGGACAGCUAAUAUUCAGGAACUUCAAUAGUAAGGAGGCAGAAAGGAUUCUGAGCAUUCCCAUAAGCUUAGUUGAUAGAGAGGAUAGUAACUUUUGGAUCUAUGGAACAAAUGGCAACUACUCAGUCUGUUCAACAUACAGGAUACAAGCACAAGAAAAGGUGGAACAGAAGAGAGAAGCCAAGGACAAUGCUAGCACAAGCUGGAGCAAACAAAGCCAAAGUAAUUGGAAACACCUGUGGAAGCUCAACGUUAAGAAUAAGGUGAAGAUCUUCUUGUGAAAAUGCCUAAAUCAGGCCCUACCAGUAAGACAACUAAUCACCAGCAAGACUAAGCAAGGUGAUCCAAUAUGUAGAGUGUGUGGAGAGGACAGUAAGACAAUAGAACAUACACUGAUUAACUGCAGCUAUGCCAAACAAGUGUGGAGGUUAGCACCAAUCCAAUAGGAAGGAAUUCUAAACCAACAAGGAUGCUUCUGGAGGUGGUGGACCAAUGUUGCAGAAGCAAAAUCAAGAAGAGAGGGCAAUGAACACCUUUCCUUAACUGCCAAUAUCCUUUGGCAAAUCUGGAAAAGCAGAAAUGAGAAAGAAUUCAACGGAAAACAGCAACUCUCAAUGAGAACAAUUCAGAAAGCUCAGGAGGAGUGGCUGGAAUUCAAGGAAGCUACAGAAAAGAACUAAAAAUGAGUAUAGAAGGAACAGGAACUCAGGAGACAUUCUUACAGCAACAUGAAGAGAAUGAAGACUCAAUGAGACUGAGGCUAGCUAUAAAAAAGAUGAAGGACAAUCCCUAAAUAGGAAUAGGGAUCACAGUUUCUGUGAACAGCCAAGAACAUGUUUGAGGUUGGGCAUUGCAUGAGAGAAACACAGGAAAUUAGCUAAUUGAUGAACUAGCAGCUGUCAAACUCCUAAUGAGCAAAACUGUUGUGCAGGAGUAGGGGAAAAUUGAGGUACAGAUGGAUAACAAACAAGUGUUCAACCGCAUACUGCACAGCAAAACUCAGGAUAUGCGCUUGGCAACUUUGCUGGAGGAUAUCUAUAGUUUGAAGUCUUUGUUUCACAUGUGCUCCUUUUGUUUAGUAAGUAAAGAUCAUAAUCAUAUUAGCGAUAGGAUUAGCGCUUAUGCGUUAAGCAUCCUUCAAGAUAAGGAACUUUGGUUUCCUUAGUGUCAUAGUGCACUGGUUGUAUAGUGCUUAUCAAGCAUUUACUUGAUCUUGUAAAAUUUAACUUAAUCUAUAAAAUCACUUAUCGUUUCGAAAAAAAAAAUCUAAUUUGCAUAUCGUUUCAUCUUAAAAUCGUCAAUAUCACUAUUUAAAACCUAAAGGAGAUGAUGAUCCAAAUUCAAGAUAUUGGAACCAAGAGUACAAAAUUAAAACUAUUGGCCAACAACAAUUUGACUUUGACCAUUAGUCAUUGUUGAUUUUCUAUCAAUUAUCCUAAAUAUGCCUAAACUUUGAAACUCCGGGGAUCAAAUUUAUUUUGGUCGAAACAUUAGGGACUAAUUUAGCACUCAAGCCAAACAUUAUGGAGUAAAAUUGCAUUUCUUCCUUAUUGAAACAAUGAAUCAAUUUUCUAUUAAAACGUGGGAAUCUGAGGGUAUAGAACCUAGGACAUCUUCAUACUAUGGCAUCAACUUUAACCACUAGACCUACCAGUAUAAUUAGUUAAAACUCUCUUACGUUUCAAAAGUUCUCUCUUUUUCCAUCUAAAGUAAAAAAAAUAUUUAUUGUUUAUUUUCUAAAGUUUAUUCUAUUGACAAGUUUUUUUGUACAAUCAACAUUUAUAAUCUAGUCUCAAGUCAUUCUUUUAGUUUUCCUAGUCAAUAAAGUAGAGCAAAUUAAGUUCACGAUAUUCAAUAACACAACAGAAAAUGUUGAAAUCCAAUUAGAGAUAAGCUGCCUAUGAGCAUCAUGGCACAAGUAAAAGGGAACAAGAAGGCAAGCCCCGCCAUCUUCUGCAUCAGGUUAUUUCCAAUUUUUCAUCUAAAAUGACCAUUUAUUGGACUAAUGAGAAAAGAAUAAAUAACUUUUAAUGUAAUAGAGACCAUUUAUUGGACUAAUGAGAAAAGAAUAAAUAACUUUUAAUGUAAUAGAGAUAAAGGAACUAUUAUUGAUGUGGUCAUCUUAAAACCCCGGAUAAGAUUUAAAUUUAUCUAAAUUAAAAAUAACAAAAUGUAUCAAAUGAAGUUUCAUCUUCAAAAGAAAAAACACAAAAGUAUAUAUGUAACUAUAAAAAUCUAUUAGUCAAUGACUCUCUUCCAUUAAAUACAAAAAUAAAAAUAAAAGACUUACGUAAUAGCUACACUAGAUUCUAGAGUCAUGGGAAAAUGAACUAAUGAAAUAAUAAGUAAAAUCAUUUUAGGACAAAAGUUGGAUAGAAAUUUAGAACAUGCAAAUCAAUAGAUUUAUGGGAUGGGAUAUCGAAUUUGGAUUAGCUAUCGUUUUAAUGGAAUAAAACAAUAGAAUGAUAGAAUUUAGACAAUAAGUGAUGGAAGGUCAAUGAGCUUUUAAUUCGUUGGACUUUGGUUUUCUAUGAUGGGAUUGGAUAACUAAAUUGUAAUUGGGUUUAUUUUUAUAUGAAUGAUUUUAGUUGACAUGGUUGAAUUUUCACUACCAUGAGGCUCUGAUUUUUGAUUGAGAUUGAGCUUUUUUUUUUCAAUUAGCACUAGAUUUAUAUACAUAAUACUGUUAGGGGGCAAACUUAUCUUUUUGUUAGUGAAAAGCAAUCAGUUAAAGAUGUUUUGCCAUUGGUGUGGGUUUAGUUUGGAAUUGAGGUAAGCUCUUUCUAUUAUCUUUGAUUUGAAAUUUUUUGAAUGUGAAAUUUAGGAAAACACUAUUUGCUUCAGUUUUGCUUUAGAUUUAGCUGCUAAUUGGAAGUUAAAUACUUAGAAGUCAAUUUUAUUGGUUUGGAUUGGAAUGAUUUGACGAAUAGGUUGAAAUUAUCAUUAAGGCAACCAAAUUAAUAUAAUUUUUUUCUAACUUUGUUAAUUAUCCUACUAUAGCAAGGUGUGCUACAAAACUCUGCAAUAUUUUGAGUUGGCAUUUAGAUUUUGCAUUAACUUUAAUGAAAAUCUUAACUAUUGCCACUAUUGUCUGUUUUUAAUCUGAAUAUCUACAUUUGCCAAUGUUUGCUCUAUUAAAUUACGUAGUUGUACUUUUGUCAGCAAAAUUAACCACAACUUUUGAAAUUUUACGUACUUCAUGUUUAAUAACAUGGUACUACUUGUCACUUGCAAGUUUAGAUAAGUUUUUUUUGCAGCAUUUCAUCGAACAAUUUCAAUGCAUUCUUACCCAUGUGUAAAUACUUUUUGUUAUCUAUUUCAUUACUUCUACUCUUUUUCAUUUGUAGCUACUUACACUUCACACUAAUUUUGGUGAUAGCAAGUCUGAAACCUUCACACUACUUAAAGUUGCCAAGGUUUAUGCUCUCAUGUCUAAUGUGUGGGAAUUUUAACCAAUUAUGCAAUUUACUAUAAUUUUAAUGGAUAAGAAUUUUCUUUAAUCAUAUUCUAAAUAACAAUUUUUAGUAAUUUCUUUUUUUGCGGUUUAUAAUUGGUAUAGAGUACUCCUUUACUAGUACAUUUUCUUCAAUUCAACAAGGGGGUUAUGUGAGUAUUUUUAAAUAAUGAGAGGGGUUUCGUGUAUAGUAGGCAAAUUACAGGGGAGGUUACUGUAACCCAAAAAAUUAGUAGAUAUUCACAAAUAUUAGUAUUAAAGUAAUCAAUCUAUGCAAAAUAAAGUGACUAUUGCAAUGUGCAAACUAAGUAAAUUUACCAAUCAAAUGUACAAGAAAAACAAUAUUAUACAAUUAAACAAGUGUCAGACUAUAAUAUUUUUUUUUGAUGAUUUUGAGAAUUGUGCUCAAAACUCAAUCAUCACCAUUAAAUUCAAUGAACAUACAAUCCACACCAAUCUAUAUCCUACAAGUAUAAAUCCACUAGUCCUUUGCUUAAUUUUUUUAUAGGGAAAAGAUAGCAAACAUUUCAUUUACAAAUAAACAUUACCAAGAAUGAAUCAACUAGUUGAGAAGCCUGAAUAGAUGAAAUAGCCUUACCUCUUUUGUCUUGUUUGUUCUUCAUCUUUUUGUUUGUGUCAGAAAAUUUAUGAAUAGUGGCAACUUUGAGCAUUUAUUUUGAAAAAAAAUUAGAUGGUACAUGCAAUGACUGCAACUAUUAAAGGAAGAAUCAGAUAGAGAAUUGAGACAAAGGAGAAGAAGAGAAAGAGUAGAAAUGAGAAGGAUUUUAGGAAAGGAACAGAGAGGUAGAAUAUUAUUCAGAAAAGGAGAUUUACAAUCAAUCAUCAGCUUCUCUUUUUCCUACAUUCAGCAGCUUAUUUAUACUAUAGAAUUAUUCUUUCUCCUAACUACUACUGCUUGCUUGACAGUAACUGUCUAGUAACUAUCACUAAUCAUUAGUGCUAACGAAGUACUCCAGAUGCUCCAACUAAAACUUGAUCAAUCAUGACCUGAUGAUGAUGAUCAUGGCCAUACAGGGAGCAACGGGGGAAGGGAGGCAAUGCUUUUUAUGAUCUCUGGAAAGUUUUAAUGAUUUUCAUUUAGAUACCCCCUAGAAUUCUAGAAAGGGGCCGCAAAACCUAACUUUUGUCUUAUGAACAAUAUUGACUUUUAGUUUUUAAACAAUUUUAGGCUGCAAUUUAGAUAGUUGAGCCAUAAAAUUGAACUUAUUAAAUGUUUUAGUAUUAUAUUCACAAAAUUUUAUCUAUUCUCAAAUAUCUCUUUAUGGCUUGUAGAUGAACAUUUUUAACUAGUUGGAUAUUUCAUGUGUGUACUUGAAAUUAAGACUUGGGUAUGGAAAAAUAGUCUAAAAUUUUGUAGUAAAACAUGCUUACAUUAAUACAUUAUAUGUUUUCCUUUUUUAUUCUAUUGUAAGAUAAUAAGGAAUGAGAAUAUAAUGCCAUGAGUAGUUAUGUUAAUUUAAUAUAGUUUUCAUGGAUUUUGAUCCAUUAUCAAGGAUAUAAGUUCUUUAUUAUGUUAUGGACUUAAACUUUAUUAUUGUUAUGUUUAAAAUUAGGGUUAAUAUCAGAAACCUCCCCUGAGGUUUCUUCUACUAACACCUAGCACUCCCAUGUUUUUGAAAUCACACAUAGCACCCCUGAAAUGACAACUUUGGUAUCAUUGUCAGCCCCUUUGUUGGAAAAGAGCAGUCAAAAAUGAAUUCUAGGAGAGAGACUUUAUUUUUAUUCCACUUUUACCCACAGCCCAAGAUGAUUAGUGAAUUUUAGAAGAUUUCUGUAAAGAUUUUUAGGAAAUAUUUUAUAUAUUUCUCACCAUAGUUACAAUGAUACAAGGCCUGUAUGUACAUGUAUAUGUAUAUAUAGGUUUAUAGUCAGGUAAUAGACACUAAAUCUAGACCACUAUUCAAAUGGUAACUAUCAUAAUCUAUCAUUAUAUAAUCUCUAUUUGAUAUAUAUUUAGGAUUCAAAAUAUCAAAAAGGAUAUUUAUAACAACUCACUCCAACAUUCCUCCUUAAAUUGGUGCAAAGAUAUCAUACAUGUCCUACUUGCCAAGUGGGUUAUAGAAGUUAUUAAUCGGCAAACCUUUGCGAGUAUUUCAAUCAAUUGAUAUUCAAAUUUCACAAACUGAAACUAUAUCACAUUAUUUUUAAGAUUUUAUUUAAUAAAAUGCCGAUCAAUCUUCACAUGUUUAGUUCGGUCAUGUUGAACUGGAUUAUGAGAAAUGUCAAUGGCUGUUUUGUUAUCACAAAACAAAACCAUUUCGAAAAUUGGAGCAUGACUGAUAUCGAUAAGCAGCUUCUAAAACUAAAGAAGUUCACAAAACCUUUGGGCCAUUCCUUUGAACUCAGCUUCUAUGUUAGACAAAGCCACCACCUUUUAUCUCUUACUUUCUAUGUAACGCUUUCCAUCCACAAAGAUGAAGUAGCCAAGAUUCAAUCUCCAAUUAGUAGGAUCUCCUGCCUAAUCGACAUUUGUAUAACCCUCAAUAUUGAGGUAAUUGUUCUUUAAAAAUAGAACUUCUUUCCCAAGUGAAUGCCUCAAAUUUGGAAUUAUCUGGAUCAUAGCUUCUAUAUGCCGAUUACCACGGCAAUGCAUAAAUUAGCUAGUAAUGGUAACAACAUAUGUAAUAUCAGGACAAGCACAUGAAAAAUAAAUUAGCUUACUAACUAACUUCUGAUAUCUCUCUUUGUCAGUUGGCACUUGAUUAGGAUAUUUCCCCACUUUGUAGUUUUGGAUUAAUCGGCGUAUCUGUUGAUUUGCAAUCUAGUAAUUCUUUUUCAACUAGAAGAUCAAGUACGUACUUUUGUUGAGGUAGAAAAAUGCCUAGCUUCGAUCUUGCCACUUUAAUGCCUAAAAAAUAUUUUAGACUUCCUAAAUUCUUCAUUUCGAACAUAACUGUUAAUCUAUCCUGUAACAUAGAGGUCUCCUCUGCAUCAUUACCUAUGAUAAUCAUGCCCUCAAUAUAGAUAACUGGUAUUGUCACUUUUCCAAACCAAUAUUUCAAUAAUAAGGUGUGAUUCACAUUAUUUUGUUGAAAACUAUAUUUUUCAUAACCAAAGUAAAUUGAUCAAACCUAGCACAUGGCCACUGUCUAUAUAAUGCUCUCUACAAUAGAUAGAGAAUAUUUGCCUUUGAAGUUGUGGAACAUCCAUGUGCACCUGUUCCUUAAGAUCACCAUGUAGGAAGGCAUUUUCUAUAUCGAACUAAUGUAAUGGCCAAUCUCGAUUAGCUAUAAGAAACACUAGGACUCUAACAGUGUCCAAUUUUGUCACUCGUAAGAAGGUUUCCUGAUAAUCAAUACCAAUGUUUGUGUGUAUCCCUUUGCCUCAAGUCAAGCCUUAUAUCAAUCAAUUGAUCCAUCAAUUUUAUACUUGAUUAAGAAAAUUCAUUUGCACCAUGCAAUCUUCUUUCUUCUGAUAGUGAGACUAAAGUUUAAAUAUUAUUCUUCGACAACACUGACAUUUCAUCUUCUAUAGCUUGAAUUCAUUUUCGAUCCACAAAAGCAGCUUGCACUUCAUUUGCAAUGUCAUCUGAUGACACAUUUUGUACAAAAACCUCUAGAGGUUCAGACAACUUGUAAGUUAACACAUAAUUAGCAAUAGAAUAUUUGGACUAUUUUAUAGGAGCUUUUGGAGAAUACUUGCCAUGAUUAGAUCUAUCUGGUAAUACAUAUCUAAUAGAUAUAUUCAAAUUUAGUAGUAAAUACAGGUGCAGUAGAAGUACUUAUUUUCGGAAUACACUUAGGAGAAGAAUGAUGAGGAAAUUAGGACCAAGAAUUAUCUUAGUUACAUCAACUUCUUUUUUAUUUUCUUUAGAAUAUAUAUGAGCAUCCAUUUUAUGAAAACCAUCAAGAGUAUCAUCAGCCCUAAGAGUUUUUUUAUCCUCAAUUAUAGGCAAAUUGGCCUAGUUACUUCAGUCAUUGGCAAAAUCAGCACCAAUCAUAGACAAAUUGGUACUGGUCAUAUUUGCACCUGACUAUUCCAAUUCAGGCUAAUUCUGCUCUUCUCUGUCCUUUAUUUUCUUCUGAAGUGAAAAAUUGGAUACUGAUGCAAAAAAUGAUUCCAACACCAAGAAUGUAAUGUCCAUCAUUUCAUACAUCUUCUUGGUGAUAGAAUCAUGGCAUUGAUGAUCUUCUUAUGCAUAGUAUACCCCAAGAAAACAUAUUGGACAGCAAAAGAAUCUAAUUUAAUGCACUGAUUUUUAUACAAAUAGAUGAAUGCCGUACAUCUAUACACUCGUGGUGGAAUCAUUAGCACCAAUGGUAGUUUAAAGUGUUUAGAGAGAACCUGUAGUGGAGUCUGAAAAUACUUUUGAAGGCACUAUGUUCAACAAAUGUAACAUCAUGGUGACCGCAUCUAUCCAAUAUUGGCGUAGAACAAGAGCAUGAGCCGUUUUGAGUAUGCGUUGAUUUUCGUUCUCAACAUCUCCAUUGUGUUGUGGAGUCUAGGUACAAAAAGCCUCAUGUGAAAGACUUUUAGUCUUAAAAAAAUCUUGAAGUGGCUAAUUGUCAUACUCACCACCAUUAUUAGACUGUUGUAUUCUAAUUGUAGCUGAAUUAGGCCCGUUUGGAAGGUGAGUUUUUUAAAAGUUUGUCUAAAACUUUACUGUAAUGCACUGUAGAAGUUUUUUAAAAUUUUUUUGAAAAGUGUAAAUUUUUUAAUAUUUUGAAGUGUAUAAUUUAAGAAUUUUAAAAAGUUUUUUGAGGUUAAUGUAGCUAAAGUUUUUAAAAAACUUGUAGAAGACAAACUUGCCAAAAAACUUGAAUUCCAAACAGGGCUGUUUGAAUCAUUAAUCGAAAUAAUUUAAAGACAUCAAACAUCUCAUUCUUAUGUUUUAGCAAAUAAAACCAAGUCAUUAUAGUACAAUCUUCUACAAAUGUAACAAACCAACGAAUACCAGUGAAUGAAGUAAUUAUAAGAGUCCUUAAACAUCAAAAUGUACCAAAGCAAAAGGAAUAGUACUAUUCACAUUGAUUUGGAUAAGGGACUCUAUGACUCUUAGCCAAGAUAUAAGUAUCACAUUUUAAAUUGGUAGGACCGGAAUUUGAAAAUAAAUCAGGAAAAAGGUGUUAUAUAUACCUAAAUGAUGAAUGCCCCAAUCAUUGAUGCCAUAACUAGAUUUCUCGUUCCAUUGCAUUAUAAGUGCUUUUCAUCUGAUUUACUCUAAGUGAAAUCAUCCAUAUAAUAUAAACUUCCUCUCAUUUUCCUAGGAUCCAUGAUCUCCUUGGUAAAAACAUCAUGAAAUAAACAAAAAAUUGGAUACAUUUGCUUCACAAAAUGGAGAUCAGCUAUGAUUUAGCUUAUAAAAAUUAACUUAUUUCAAAGAGAUGGGAUUAGUAAAGUAUCAAUUAAAAAAAGAUAUGAUGAUAGAACAACAUUUCUAUUGACAUUAGAAAUCAUCGAUCUUCUAAACUGGGUAACACGAGAAAUUAUUUGGAUCAAAAGUCAUAAUCAAAAGUCAUAUGGUUAGUAGCUCCUAAUCAACGAUCCAGUUACUAUCAUGUCAAUUAGAAUUAUUAUUACCUUGAUUGUUACAAGCUAACGAGGAUACAUCAGCAAUAGAGAUAGAAUGCAUCUGAGUAAUAUUGCAGGCGGUGAAAAAGGACUUGGGUUGAUAUUAACAAUCCGAUUGAUAUCGAUAGUCACUACUGCUACUUUACCAACAUCUCCAUCUUCAUUAUUUGUGAUUGAUCGAUCAAGGGUAUCAAUUUCUUACUUUGCGUUUCUUCCACCAAUUUGGAUAUCCAUACAGUUUGAAAUAGGUGUCAUAGGUAUCUUUUUUAUUCUUGCACUAGGUACAUCCAUCUCCUUCGGGUUGCACAUUCAUAUGAGAUAGCAUAGUCGAUCUUCUGAACUUCUUCAGAAGCCAUAACUGCAAUUGUUAUAUUGUCUCUUAUAGUUAGCAUCACUGAUUGUCUAUUAUCCUCACGUUGAACAAAGGUAUAUGCCUACUGCACUAUAGAAAACAGGUUCACUCACAACACAUCACUAUGAAUCUUAUUUAACCAGUUAUCUAGUCUAUAAAGAAAAGUGUAUACUUUCUCUUCCCGUAUGAAAGAGUAGUAGCUACUGAUAUUGGCAACACAUUCUAUUGGAUUAGGCCGACGAAAUCAAUUAUUCUCUACAAACCUUAAAGGUCAUUGUAAUGCUUCUGAAUUCAUCUUCCAGUUUGUCUUAUUCUGGUUAACUUUCUCUAUAGAUCAUAUACUUGGGCUUUAUCAGGCCUAUCGAUAUAUGUUGUAGCAACCGAAUCCCAUACCGCUUUCACAGUUGGAAAACAGAUAAAAUUUGCCAAUCAAGGAUGGGUCCAUGUUAUUUAUAUGAUUAAUUCUUCAGUCCUUCACUGUUGGAGUGUAGGAUCUGUCCAUAAAAGUUGUGAAAAAUUCACCAUUGAUAUGUCCAAAUUUGUCUUUGCCUGUGAUAUACAUCUAGAUAAUAUGGGACCAUAAGGUAUGAUUGGUGUCAUUCAACUUAAUGCAAAUUUGAGCCACAGAAGAAUCAUUGCUAAGCUUAGGUCUCUAACUCUGGUCAAGACCUUCGUCAUCCUCAUGGCUGAGUUUUUUAGAAUUGGGUCAAUUUAUCAUUUCUCACUUUGCAUAGUCUCAAAUAAUUCCGCCAUGGAUUCGAAUUCAAGUUUUUCUAUCAGAAUUGUGUUUCGACUAGAAAAUCUAAAAUCCUUACUUUGAUACCA